UGCAAGUCGAACGAAACUUUCUUACACCGAAUGCUUGCAUUCAUCGUAAGAAGUUGAGUGGCGGACGGGUGAGUAACACGUGGGUAACCUGCCUAAAAGAAGGGGAUAACACUUGGAAACAGGUGCUAAUACCGUAUAUCUCUAAGGAUCGCAUGAUCCUUAGAUGAAAGAUGGUUCUGCUAUCGCUUUUAGAUGGACCCGCGGCGUAUUAACUAGUUGGUGGGGUAACGGCCUACCAAGGUGAUGAUACGUAGCCGAACUGAGAGGUUGAUCGGCCACAUUGGGACUGAGACACGGCCCAAACUCCUACGGGAGGCAGCAGUAGGGAAUCUUCCGCAAUGGACGAAAGUCUGACGGAGCAACGCCGCGUGAGUGAAGAAGGCUUUCGGGUCGUAAAACUCUGUUGUUGGAGAAGAAUGGUCGGCAGAGUAACUGUUGUCGGCGUGACGGUAUCCAACCAGAAAGCCACGGCUAACUAC
Molecule: ribosomal RNA, 479 nt
Filed under: uncultured bacterium
Lineage: Bacteria
Description: bacterial SSU rRNA
Rfam family: Bacterial small subunit ribosomal RNA
Source: RNAcentral